Molecule: ribosomal RNA, 440 nt
Filed under: uncultured bacterium
Lineage: Bacteria
Description: partial 16S ribosomal RNA
Rfam family: Bacterial small subunit ribosomal RNA
Source: RNAcentral
CCUACGGGAGGCAGCAGUGGGGGAUAUUGCACAAUGGGGGAAACCCUGAUGCAGCGACGCCGCGUGAGUGAAGAAGUAUUUCGGUAUGUAAAGCUCUAUCAGCAGGGAAGAAAAUGACAGUACCUGACCAAGAAGCCCCGGCUAACUACGUGCCAGCAGCCGCGGUAAUACGUAGGGGGCAAGCUUUAUCCGGCUUGACUGGGUGUAAAGGGAGCGUAGACGGUUAUGUAAGUCUGGAGUGAAAGCCCGGGGGCCAACCCCGGGACUGCUGUGGAAAUUGUGUAACUGGAGUUAAGGAGGGGCAGGCGGAAUUCCGGGUGUAGCGGUGAAAUGCGUAGAGAUCAGGAGGAACACCGGCGGCGAAGGCGGCCUGCUGGACUGAAACUGACGUUGAGGCUCGAAAGCGUGGGGAGCAAACAGGAGUAGAUACCCCAGUAGUC